AAGAUGUCGGGGGUCCAGUCUGGUACGAUGGAGAGUGAGCCCGUGGCUUGUGCUCAGAUCGUCAACGGUGCUGGCGGCGGCGUUGAAAUGAGAAACGAACACGAGGUUGUGGCUGCAAGCAGUUAGUGAUCGUUGUGUCUAAAGCGUGCAAUUUUGUAGUGAAGAUCAGCUGGAAAGCGAUGGAUUACUGCAUCUCUUGUAUCUGAAGGGCAGUGGAAGAGUCAUGCGAGGUCAUAAUCACCCUCCAACACCUAUUCCUCCUCCGCUAACGUCGAGUGAAGAUGAGGAUGACGUCCGAGCCUUUUCCCCUUUGCUUCCUCCACCCGUGAAACGGCCAUGCUACGCUUCCAUCCGACGAGGACCGCGUGUCACCAGCGCAGCACUACUGCCCUCAAGUUGCGACCAAAUACCAUGGACUACCACGAAUCGGCACACCCGUCGCACAAAAGGACCCUUUUGCAACGGACCUGCGCCAGACGAAGGAGUUCGA
This is a long non-coding RNA of Ornithodoros turicata, 490 nucleotides long. RefSeq lists it as uncharacterized. The transcript is spliced from 3 exons. NCBI's taxonomy places the organism in Eukaryota, Metazoa, Arthropoda, Arachnida, Ixodida, Argasidae. The record is from RefSeq and is a predicted model, not a curated record.